RNAcentral lists this small RNA (591 nucleotides) under Pongo abelii (Sumatran orangutan). RNAcentral describes it as "retained intron". Lineage: Eukaryota; Metazoa; Chordata; Mammalia; Primates; Hominidae. The record is from RNAcentral.
AGUUUCUAAGGAUCAUGUCUGCGAGCCAGGAUUCCCGAUCCAGAGACAAUGGCCCCGAUGGGAUGGAGCCCGAAGGCGUUAUCGAGAGUAACUGGAAUGAGAUUGUUGACAGCUUUGAUGACAUGAACCUCUCGGAGUCCCUUCUCCGUGGCAUCUACGCCUAUGGUUUUGAGAAGCCCUCUGCCAUCCAGCAGCGAGCCAUUCUACCUUGUAUCAAGGGUUAUGAUGUGAUUGCUCAAGCCCAAUCUGGGACUGGGAAAACGGCCACAUUUGCCAUAUCGAUUCUGCAGCAGAUUGAAUUAGAUCUAAAAGCCACCCAGGCCUUGGUCCUAGCACCCACUCGAGAAUUGGCUCAGCAGAAGGUGGUCAUGGCACUAGGAGACUACAUGGGCGCCUCCUGUCAUGCCUGUAUCGGGGGCACCAACGUGCGUGCUGAGGUGCAGAAACUGCAGAUGGAAGCUCCCCACAUCAUCGUGGGUACCCCUGGCCGUGUGUUUGAUAUGCUUAACCGGAGAUACCUGUGUGAGUAAUUCAGUUCUCCAAUCCCCUGGGUCACUUUGCUCUUGUGCACGCUUUCCAGUCUUUCAGCGU